GACGAACGCUGGCGGCGUGCUUAACACAUGCAAGUCGAACGGAAAGGCCCUGCUUUUGUGGGGUGCUCGAGUGGCGAACGGGUGAGUAACACGUGAGUAACCUGCCCUUGACUUUGGUGUAACUUCAGGAAACUGGGGCUACUACCGGAUAGGAGCUCCUGCUGCAUGGUGGGGGUUGGAAAGUUUCGGCGGUUGGGGAUGGACUCGCGGCUUAUCAGCUUGUUGGUGGGGUAGUGGCUUACCAAGGCUUUGACGGGUAGCCGGCCUGAGAGGGUGACCGGCCACAUGGGGCCUACGAGACGGCCCAGACUCCUAUGGGAGGCAGCAGUGGGGAAUAUUGCACAAUGGGCGGAAGCCGGAUGCAGCAACCCCGCGGGCGGGAUGACGGCCUUCGGGGUGUAAACCGCUUUCGCCUGUGACGAAGCGUGAGUGACGGUAAUGGGUAAAGAAGCACCGGCUAACUACGUG
This 468-nucleotide ribosomal RNA is filed under the name uncultured bacterium. RNAcentral describes it as "partial 16S ribosomal RNA". It matches the Rfam family "Bacterial small subunit ribosomal RNA", at positions 28 to 507 of the family's 1533-position model. The record is from RNAcentral.